UUUUGCAAAAUUUCUCAAAAAAAUGGCAAGGGGUACCCCUUAUGAAAUUUUUGAGUUGAAAUUUUUUUUUUAAUUUUUUUCCGAUUUUUUAUUCUUUUUUGUGUUUAAAGUAUUAUUUGAGUGAAAAGAAACUUAUUGCAACUAAUUCGCAUUUAAAUAUAUCUAUUUUUUUAAAUUUUGGUUAUUGCUCAAAAAAUGGUAUGGAUUUUGGUUCCUCGAAUAUCUUCUGGCACAGACAUCUGAGGGCAAGGCCGUCCAAGAAGAAAAUGUAGCCAUUGAUGCCAUCUAUCGAUCACAUUUUAAAGAUUGGCGAUCCGUUGGAUCCCGACCGAGUUAUAGGCAAAAUUUGGUUUAAAAUAUAGGAAAAUUUUACAUUUUCUCAAACAGGGUAAGGAACUUGGUUCCUUGAAUAUCUUCUUGCACAGACAUCUGAGGGCAAGGCCGUCCAAGAUGAAAAUGUAGCCAUUGAUGCCAUCUAUCGACCACAUUUUAAAGAUUGGCAAUCCGUAGGAUCCCGACCGAGUUAUAGGCAAAACUUGGUGCAAAAAUGAGGAAAAUUUUACAUUUUCUCAAACAGGGUAUGGAACUUGGUUCCUCGCAUAACUUCUGGCACAGACAUCUGAGAGCAUGGCCGUCCAAGAAGAAAAUGUAGUCAUUGGUGCCAUCUAUCGACCACAGGUUAAAGAUUGGCGAUCCGUUAGAUACCGACCGAGUUAUAGGCAAAACUUGUUGCAAAAAUAAGCCUUAGUAAAAUUUUAUUUUUUUGAAUUUUUCGAUUUUUUGAUUAUUUUUCACUCUUUUUUCUAUUUAAGGUAUUACUUGAGUGAAAAGAAACACAUUGCAAUCGAUUGGCAUUAAAAUAAAUCAAUUUAAUUUUUUUUGCAAAAUUUCUCAAAAAAAUGGCAAGGGGUACCCCUUAUGAAAUUUUUGAGUUGAAAUUAUUUUUUUAAUUUUUUUCCGAUUUUUUAUUAUUUUUUGUGUUUAAAGUAUUAUUUGAGUGAAAAGAAACUUAUUGCAACCAAUUCGCAUUUAAAUAUAUCUAUUUUUUUAAAUUUUGGUUAUUGCUCAAAAAAUGGUAUGGAUUUUGGUUCCUCGAAUAUCUUCUGGCACAGACAUCUGAGGGCAAGGCCGUCCAAGAAGAAAAUGUAGCCAUUGAUGCCAUCUAUCGACCACAUUUUAAAGAUUGGCGAUCCGUUGGAUCCCGACCGAGUUAUAGGCAAAAUUUGGUUUAAAAUAUAGGAAAAUUUUACAUUUUCUCAAACAGGGUAAGGAACUUGGUUCCUUGAAUAUCUUCUUGCACAGACAUCUGAGGGCAAGGCCGUCCAAGAAGAAAAUGUAGCCAUUGAUGCCAUCUAUCGACCACAGGUUAAAGAUUGGCGAUCCGUUAGAUACCGACCGAGUUAUAGGCAAAACUUGUUGCAAAAAUGAGCCUUAGUAAAAUUUUAUUUUUUUGAAUUUUUCGAUUUUUUGAUUAUUUUUCACUCUUUUUUUUAUUUAAGACAUUACUUGAGUGAAAAGAAACACAUUGCAAUCGAUUUGCAUUAAAAUAAAUCAAUUUAAUUUUUUUUGCAAAAUUUCUCAAAAAAAUGGCAAGGGGUACCCCUUAUGAAAUUUUUGAGUUGAAAUUUUUUUUUAAAUUUUUUUCCGAUUUUUUAUUCUUUUUUGUGUUUAAAGUAUUAUUUGAGUGAAAAGAAACUUAUUGCAACUAAUUCGCAUUUAAAUAUAUCUAUUUUUUUAAAUUUUGGUUAUUGCUCAAAAAAUGGUAUGGAUUUUGGUUCCUCGAAUAUCUUCUGGCACAGACAUCUGAGGGCAAGGCCGUCCAAGAAGAAAAUGUAGCCAUUGAUGCCAUCUAUCGACCACAUUUUAAAGAUUGGCGAUCCGUUGGAUCCCGACCGAGUUAUAGGCAAAACUUGGUGCAAAAAUGAGGAAAAUUUUACAUUUUCUCAAACAGGGUAUGGAACUUGGUUCCUCGCAUAACUUCUGGCACAGACAUCUGAGAGCAUGGCCGUCCAAGAAGAAAAUGUAGUCAUUGGUGCCAUCUAUCGACCACAGGUUAAAGAUUGGCGAUCCGUUAGAUACCGACCGAGUUAUAGGCAAAACUUGUUGCAAAAAUGAGCCUUAGUAAAAUUUUAUUUUUUUGAAUUUUUCAAUUUUUUGAUUAUUUUUCACUCUUUUUUCUAUUUAAGGUAUUACUUGAGUGAAAAGAAACACAUUGCAAUCGAUUGGCAUUAAAAUAAAUCAAUUUAAUUUUUUUUGCAAAAUUUCUCAAAAAAAUGGCAAGGGGUACCCCUUAUGAAAUUUUUGAGUUGAAAUUUUUUUUUUAAUUUUUUUCCGAUUUUUUAUUCUUUUUUGUGUUUAAAGUAUUAUUUGAGUGAAAAGAAACUUAUUGCAACUAAUUCGCAUUUAAAUAUAUCUAUUUUUUUAAAUUUUGGUUAUUGCUCAAAAAAUGGUAUGGAUUUUGGUUCCUCGAAUAUCUUCUGGCACAGACAUCUGAGGGCAAGGCCGUCCAAGAAGAAAAUGUAGCCAUUGAUGCCAUCUAUCGACCACAUUUUAAAGAUUGGCGAUCCGUUGGAUCCCGACCGAGUUAUAGGCAAAACUUGGUGCAAAAAUGAGGAAAAUUUUACAUUUUCUCAAACAGGGUAUGGAACUUGGUUCCUCGCAUAACUUCUGGCACAGACAUCUGAGAGCAUGGCCGUCCAAGAAGAAAAUGUAGUCAUUGGUGCCAUCUAUCGACCACAGGUUAAAGAUUGGCGAUCCGUUAGAUACCGACCGAGUUAUAGGCAAAA
Molecule: long non-coding RNA, 2786 nt
Organism: Anopheles funestus (African malaria mosquito)
Lineage: Eukaryota; Metazoa; Arthropoda; Insecta; Diptera; Culicidae
Exons: 2
Source: RefSeq, a predicted model, not a curated record